RNAcentral lists this long non-coding RNA (12680 nucleotides) under Lactuca sativa (garden lettuce). RNAcentral describes it as "long non-coding RNA (LSAT_LNC000191)". Lineage: Eukaryota; Viridiplantae; Streptophyta; Magnoliopsida; Asterales; Asteraceae. The record is from RNAcentral.
UUUAAAGAUAGUUCAUAAUUUUUCUAUUAUAUACAUUGUAAAUGAAAUUGAGAACUUAAGUAGGUCCUAGGACCUACCUAAGCACAUGGUGGAUACGCCCCUGUUACCCACACUAACCUCAUACACUUACAACACAAAUGAACUUGAACGGUCUAAGACCAAACCAAGAUAUAAUAUGAAAUGUGUAAGUAUAGUUUAAUAGAUGAAAGUGAGGUGUUGUUUGGGCUUGAAAAGUAGGGGUGAGCAUGGUGCGAUUUUUUGAGAAAACCGAACCGCAAACCGCAAGAUGCGGUUUCUAUAGGGUAAAACCGAUAGGUGUGGUUUUUGUUUCGGCGUGGUUUUACAUGCAUUUUCGGUGUCAUUCGAUGCGGUUUCGGUUUUUAACUGAAAAUAUGUGUUGGUGUGAUUUUUCAUACAUGUGUUGAUCUACCAAAGAAGUAAUAACCCCUAAAGAAGCUAGAGCAAGGCCUAAUUGAAAAUGAAGCCAAUUAUUAAUUGUGUCAUAAAGACCCUCAUGCCCACGUCUCAAUCGCCCUCUUGGAGGGAUAUGUGCAUCUAAAAGAUCUUUCAUACUGUGCCCAAUCCCAAAAUUAGUUCUAUACAUAUGCCCAACAAUAAGAAAAAGAAAUGCAAUAGCUAAAUAAUGAUGAGUCAUAUCAGCAUGUCCAAACCCGACUUUUCAGUUAACUUUCCUUUAUUUCCGGUACAGAUUCUCAUUUAAAUGUAUUUAACAUGCUUGUGAAAUAGUUAUAUGUUAUUCUUAUCAAAAUAUAGACUUCUUUAUGAUAUUACGAUUUUGAGAUUUGAAUUAUAUGUUUGAUGCAACAAGGGAUUUGGUUUUAUAAUCUCAAAUUCCAUUACUUAAUCAUUAUUGUUUAUACAGAUAGAGGCGGCUUUUGAUUCGAAUUGCAUUUUGCUUGUGAUAAGCAAAAGGAAAAUUGUUAAUGGUACGCACUUUGAUACAAAUGUCAAAUUUUAUAAAAAUAUAGCAAAACAUAAGGCAUGCACAGUGGCAAAAAGAACUGAAGAGGUCGAAGUUGAACAAAAUAUACUUUUAUUAAUAAGUAUUAUAAUAUAUUAAAUAUUGUCAGGUUUUUAUGGUGCUGUUUGGCAUUGUCCAAACCGCACCACACCGAAAAAUUACCAAUUAAGGUUGGAUUGGAAUGCAUAAUUAUCAAUUUAUCCUUAAUAAGUCAUAAAUCAACAAAAAUGGCCCAACAAUUUUCUUAAUCUUAAUUGUUGCCUUUGGAUUAGAAAUCAUCAACGAUCAAGAUUGGUUCUCACAAUUCUCUAAUCUCUACUUUUAUGUUGUUUUCAUUUGAACUCAACCCAAAAAUCUCACCAGUAAUCACCACACGAACAAAUCCCGUUCUUGAAAUGAUGAAACCUAUUUGUAUCCCGAAGAAUAAUUUCCCGCUCAACAAUCUUGGAAAUAAGCUUAGCAGCAAUAUGACAAUCCUCACAAACACGUAGAUUUUUAGUAAUCCGUAUAGGCGUAAAAGCUUUAGUAUUUAUAAUCACAAACACAAUAGCAAGCUUCUCACUAUGAACAGCAAGAUGAUUUCCUUUAUCUUCAUCUUCUAUAUCAUGAAGUGCAGAAUCCACUUCAGGAACAUACCCAAAAUCCCUCAUCUUCCCCACAAGUACUUCCAACUCUUGAUAAAUCUGUUUAGAUUGUGGAUGGGAUUGAUCUCCAGCAAGAAACGAAUGAACUUGAUUAUUAAGCUCAACAUUACUAACACCGGGCUCUUUUUUCACUCCUUUUGAUUUCAUUAUUGAACGAAUAUUUGUCACAUCUUUAAAUCUACCUGCUUUUGCGUAUAUAUUUGAUAAUAAAACAUAAUACCCUGCUUGUUCAGGGACCAAUUCAAAGAGAUGAUCUGCUGCUACAAGACCAAUUUCCAUGUUGGAAUGAACUUUACAAGCACUUAACAAAGCACCCCAGAUUCUAUCGUUUGGUUUUGUUUUCAUUUUCUUUAUAAAAUCAUAAGCUUCAUUGAUUCUUCCUGAUCUUCCUAGCAAAUCAACCAUGCACGCCAAGUGUUCGAGUCUUGGAAUGAUGUUAUACUCUUCGGUCAUCAAUUUGAAGAAAUGUUUUCCUUGGUUUAGUAAUCCGGCAUGGCUGCAGGCUGAUAGAACUGGAACGAAGGAAAUGGAAUCAGGGGCGAUUCCGGAAUUUUGCAUAUUUGAAAAGACUGUGAUAGCAGUUUCACCAUCUCCAGUCAUGCCAUAAGCAGAGACCAUGGAAGUCCAGGAGACGACAUCUCUUGUUGGCAUUUCAUCGAACACCUUGCGUGCUUCGUUUAAAGACCCACAUUUAGCAUACAUGUCAAUCAAGGCGUUCUCUACUGUUAGAUUAGGAAGAAGCCUUUUUGUUUUUACAUAUGAAUGAAUCUUUCUUCCUAGUAAUAAAGCUGAAAGAUCUCCACAAGCGGGUAGGAUGCUAGCAACUGUGAUUGAAUCCGGGUCGAUUCCGUAAUUCUCCAUUUGUUGAUAAAGAUUAACUGCAUCUUUAGGCAUCGAGUUGUUGACGUACACAGCUAUCAUGACAUUCCAAGAAAUUAAACUCUCUCGAGCGUGAUUCAUGAACAUUUCUUUCAUAAACAUCACGUUGGUAGAUGAAGUAGAAGUUGUUAAAGCAGGGGAAAGGCUGGCCAUGGUGCCUGCGUUGGGUUUUGAGGUAGAACAUUGCAUCAUUGUCUUACAAAUCUCCAAUGCAUCUUCAAACAUCCGGUUUUGGGCGUAGGCAGCAACCAUAGCAUUCCAGGAGACGAUAUCUCUACUAGGCAUUUCAUCAAACACCUGGCGUCCUUCCAGUAACCGGUUACAUUUUCCAUACAUUGUAAUCAAUCCAUUCCCUACAUAAAGAUUUGAAUGCAGACCCUUCUUGAGAACAGCAACAUGGGUUUGUAAUCCGACCCACAAAUUCUCAGACACGGAACAUGCUUUUAGAACUUGAGGAACUGUAAAAUGAUCAGGGUUAAUGUUGAACUUGAACAUGUUUCUGUACAUACGAAGUGCUUUUUCGUAGAAUUCAUUGUUUACGUAGCUUCUAAUCAUCACAUUGAAGAAGACUACAUCUUUUUGAGGAAAUUCAUCAAACAGUUGGCGGGUAACUGCGAUUUGGCGACAUUCAGAAUAAGCUUUCAUUAAUUUCAGAGCAAUAUGCGAUGCUGAGACGAGGUUUCCAUCAAUAAUUAACCUACAAUGUAUCUUUUUCAAUUGUUUGAUAUCUGGGCACUUGUCCAAGAUUUUGAUACACAAGUCUUCUGUGAUUAACAUGAUUGUUAAGGCGAGAUUUGAAUGAAUUUGAACUUAUAUUCCUUUCGCCAUGUUGUACCUGAGGGGCAAUCAAAUAGAAUGGACGAAGAUAACGAAGGUUUACUUGGUGGUGUUCACUUAAAAACAAGAAAUAUGAAGUUCUAAACGCUAUUUCUUGUUAAACAGAAAAUAUUUUGUCCAAUCUAAAAAUCCAAUUUUUGAGUAAGUUCAAGCUUAAGCUCAAAAAUAGUAAGCAAAACAUGUUUAAAAAAUAAAAGUUCGUUUGAAACUCUUUGGAUAGCUCGAGUAUAACAAUCAUCAUAAUUAUAGUCAAUAAAUCAGGCUCAAACAACCAAACUUGAUGUCCAGCCCUUGAUCAUCCAAUUGCCAACUGAAAUCAACUUAGUUUCCGGUUUUAGAAUCGCCCUAACAUUACAUAAGCACCAACUAGUUCCAAAAGUAGUUUUUAAUUCAAUGUCUCCCAUACCCGUGACUUCAAGGGUUUCCAUGUUACCCAACCUUACCAACUUAAGAUAAGUUCUUUACUUCAAUUACUAUAACAGAUCGAUGAGUCAUGUUCUAAUGACCUCUCGUCAUAUGAUGCAAUGCUUAGACUCGAGUCUUUUAAAGUCAAAUUCUAUAAUGAAAUAUACAUUCCUUCAAGUUUCUAAUGUGAUAUAAUCACAUUCUAGCAUGUAUCACUUCUAGCUACAAGCUUCUUACUUUAACAACAAUCACAAUACUUCUAUUGAUCGCUUUGAUUAUCUUUCAGUUCAAUCUUCUGGCUUAAGUCAGAUGCUACAUCGAUCUUGGUUCUCUGAACCACGUACAAUACUUAUCCUAGCUGUAAUCGAUUUGAUAUGACCACUAGGGUCGGAAUAACAAUCAUCUUCUUAGUCAUUACCGAAAUUAUGGUAAUGACACAUGAACAAAACAGAAUCAAUUACUAGCGUCUUGGUAACUCGUGACUUUCCCUGAUCCAAGUGCGAGUCGUGUGCUUCCAGUAGUAUAUGCCUCUACUACCUUUCACACCUACUCAUACUUGUCCCAAGUAUUGUCUUUCAGUUCUCCAAGUCACCAUAAAAGAAUUUCACAUAGUCAUUUAACACAUCGAAUAACAAAACUAAGGUUUAUAUUAUUUCUUGAAACGAUUACAUAGAUAUUCAAGUUCACCUUAUACCAUGCCUUUUAUAUUAGGCUACACCACAUGAUACUAUCUAUAUGGCUACUUUAUAUCUCGAUCUUCAGAUAUAUAUAGAUCCCUACUCCUAAUCCCUUGUAUCGUCACCUGCUUCAUCCAGGUUAGACUUCGAGAAUCUUCCUUUCUUAUCGAAUCUUGAGGAUCCCUCAAGCUUCUUCUUUUCUCAUGCCUUGUCUUAUUCCAGACCCUUUUUCCUAAAUUAGGUUUCCAUAUUCUUGGUUGCUCUAACGGUUGUCUUCAAAGUAGUUGCCAUUUUUACCAUUGCGCCAAAUUAUGCUGGCAAUCCGUUAGCAAAACUAUCUAUCUUGGAGAGUUCAGUAGCACCAAGUAGGGGAAUAACUUCAUCUGCUCGGUGAAUACGGUGACAUACUCAUCAACACUCAUCUUCCUUUUCUUCAAGUUCGAAACUCGUUGUUUAGGUCUAUCAGAUCUAUCUCUGAGCAGUAUUGCAUUUUCAACUGCUCCAUGAAUGCUUCCCACCUCAGGGCUUCUCCCCCAUGGCUUUGUAUCUGCCAAUAACUUCCACCAACUUAAAACUCUGGUCUUUAGUUGUCUGACUGUAAAGACGGUUUUCUGCUUGUUGCUGCAAUUGCAACUUUCAAAUGUCAUCUCUAUCUCGGAGAUCCAAUCCAUGAUCUCUACUGGCUUCGGGCUUCCAGAAAGACUUGGUGGUUUGGCACCUAAGAAGUUCUUAUACAUACGUUCAUCCUUAUCAAUCGCUUUUUUCGGGUCGUUCCUCCUUGCCACUCGGGGUUCAGCUUGACUCACUGUACGACUGUAAUUUCCCUCCUCCGACAAUUCUUCAUUCAGUUCGGGUUGCACGAUAGGCACAAUAGGUUCAUCCCUAUUAUCAAGAAACAUUUUUCUCAUCUCCUCCCUUUGUUCGGCCAUCAUAGCCCAAAUCAUUGCUUAGACUCUUGCCAUCGUGAUUGGCUCGGGUGCAGCUACUACCUCUGGUGCACAUUUAAUCACUCGUGGUUCAGGCUGUUAGUUUUCAUUAGCAUUUUCUAAUAUGUUGCGAGUUCUCACCAUUUCGAUCUAUACACUCUAGAGAUGUUCAGUGUACAGUGACGAGAAUUAAGAUAUGGAAAGCUUUAUUUACGACAGCCAUAUAAAUCUUCUUAUCACUCGUAAAAGUUAUAUACUAGUUCUAAUACCGUAAUUAAAUGUUUGGAAAUUUUGAGCAAAUGACGGUUCAUCAACAAUAGAGCGAAUCUCAUUUAGGAAUUCGUUGAUAGGUCGAUUUCCUUUAGGAUUUUUAGCAAGUUUGGAUUUUAAAGAGAUGAUUCUUGAGCAGGAGGUGCUGGCAUAGCUUGUGUUGAGAUGCUUUCAUGCUUCUUUUGUGGUAAAUACAGAGGUAAUGAUAGGUUGAAUGAAUUGCAUCUGAGCAUGAACCAAGAAUUGCAUCGAAUACUACAUGAUCUUGGCGAUAGCAAGUCGUGUAUUCAUGAUUAGGUUUGGAUUUGUCUUUGUCGAUAAUGAAUUUUGUGGUAGGAUCAGUCACCCAUGUGAUGUAAUCUUCCAGACCUAGUCCAAUAAAUGUGGACUGCACUUGUCGCCUCCAUACAUGGAAGUUGUUGGUGAGUAAUUUGGUAGGAAAGUGACUUGAGGCGGUGAUUUGUAUUUGGGAUGAUUGUGUCAUGGUGAUGUUGAUGAAAAGGAUUAGAGGAGAAAGGCAAGAUGAUCGAUUGACUCUUUAGAGUGUGUGUGCUCUGAUACGAUAUGAGAUUUGAGAAUCAAUGGGCUCGAAUGAAUAAUUUCAUUUACAAAGAUCGAUACAUAUAUAGAUGGUAACGAGAGUUAAAGAGCUAUACAUGGAAUUUACUAAGAAUAGAUUGCAAUUACAUACAAAUAGAAGAGAUUAUUGUAGAUUAGUCAUGAAGAUGUGUACGAUGUUAUAGUUAGAUUGCUUAUUUGCAAUCCAUGUUAGCUAAGUAUGUCAUGUUGAAUACAAAUUGUAUUAAAACAUUAAAGUUCCAACCAUUAUAUGUUGAAGAAGAAGCAAAUACGCCUUAGUCACACCCAUUCUAAAUGAUAUGGAUGUUAUGGUUGUCGUUUCUAUGCAACCAAAUCGUGAUUCCAAGUUGCAGUUGUCUUACCAAUAUAUCAUGUUAGGAAAAGAUGACAUAGCAUGAAAUAUUGUAUGUUACAACAAAAAGAUAUAUCUUAUAGAUGUCUUGCACAUGGGUUAUUCCUUUUUAAGCACUUAUAUAAAAAUAAUAUCACGUAUGUAUGAUAUCUAUUUUGAGAGAUUUUUAGCAAGCAACUCUUUGUCUAUUAUUGUUAUUGGAUAGAAAAAGUAUCAUCUUCGUUGGGAAGAUUUUACUAGGAUUAGAUUCAUAAUAGUUUGUCAAAGAUUUUACUAUUAUGUAUUUAUAAACCCAUGAAGUUUUCUAUUAAAUAAAUAAAUAAAUAACCAUUCACCAUUUAUAUCUUUUUGGAAUAGAGUUUGUUAAAUUCUAAUAUAAAUAAAAAGAGUAUUUAUUUAGAUUCACACAUUACAAAAUUACAAACUCCAAGCAUAAAUCCGAAACUUAUUUUUAAACUUCUUCAUUUAUAUUACAAGUUUUAUUCUUUUUUCCCAACCCACUUGGGGUUUCGAAACCCUAAAAAAGUUCUAUCCAUGGAAGUUCAUAUUUAUUUCUUAUCUUAAUGAAUUUAAGGUCUAAAUCAAUAAAUGGCAAUGUAGAAUUAACCGCAUAUAUUAAGUUAUUUUUGGAAGCUUUCCAACACAACACAGAAAGGAAAUGAUGAGAAUUUAUGGUACCAAAUAACAAAAUAAUCCCGGUUCCUAUAAAAAUUUAUUAAAGCUCUACUCAUGAUUUCAUAAUCUCCUCUAAUAUGAGGGUUACGUUAUUGUAAUAAUAACUAUGAUAAUGUAAAAGCCAUAACAUAAAUCGUCUUAAUUUAAGAAAUAAUAUAAAUCCCAAGAUAUUGUUUUUAAAAUAAAAAGGAAAAAAGUGGGAGUCCAUUAGAAGGAGCCAAGCUGAUUAUUUGAGCCAAGAGAGCACCGAUUUGUUAUCCUUCCACUGUUCGAAGCGAGAGGUUAUCGCAGCUCUGUGAAGCCAGCCUAACGCAUUGCCCUCUGCUCUAGGAACCAAGAAGCCCAAGCCUUCGCUCAAGCCACUUGAUCCAACUCCGAACUUGGAACGGGCAAACCAGAUUUUGCAACAGCUUUGACCCAACCAAACAAGGCUCGAUCUCAGUCCAUCCCACUUUAGAGCCCUCACUUGAGUCACAAGCUCGCGUUACCAAGCUCGGCGAUAAACGAAGUCCAUUUGAUGUAUAAAUAAUCGGAAAAACUUUCUCCUCCAAGCGAUGUGGGAUGCGAAACGAAAUAUUUUCAUCUUCAUUCUCUCUUUAUCUCUGUCAAAUACUGUGAUUACUGAUUACUGACUACUUAAACACCCAUGCAACGGAUUUCAAGUAUUUUUUUCAAUCCAUGGAUUUAGAACUGUAAACUGAAAAAAGAGAUUGUGGAAUAGUUUUGGAAACUGGAAUUUGUUUACAAGUUUUUCGUGAGGUGUAAGUGAUAAGAUAUGAUAUUUGAGUAAUUGGAAUCAUUCUCUCGAAGAUUCAAGUAUCAAGUAUGAAACUUAGACAAUAUAUAUACCUGUUUUCUUCUCUUUUUUCUGUCUACGAACCGAAUCCAACAUGAUUUCUCUACAAAAUCCGUGUCUUAAUCCUAAUUAACACUCACUAACCGGUUACCCCUCCAGAUGUUGCAGAAAUUUUCUUGAAUUAUCUCUUUUGUUUUUCACAAUUCAAUGUCGGUUGCUCCCUUUCUCUCUGAUUCAAGUAUUCAACCACCGCCAAAGACUUGAGAAAGUGGAGGAGUUUAUCAAUUAAAUGAGUUUAUAUGCUUUCCAACUUUUCGUAAAUUGCAAGUUACUCCCCGUACCUUUCGAAAAUCUUCCUUUAACAAUUGUGGAAAGUUGUUGAAAUUUGAAAAUAAAAUAAAAAUUAUAGUCAAGGGGAUCGUUUUAAAGGUUUCCAGGAGAUACUUUUGUUGAUAUAUUUUUGAAUAAAAAGUUAAUUAUAUAAUAGAUUUUUACCAAAUAAUGUGGAUAGCUAAAAAUGUGAUUAUGGUUUAAAAAAGAAAUCUAAUAAAUAAAGAUUAAAUAAAGAAGUUAUGUUUUAAUAUAACUAAAUUAAUGAUGGUAUUGUGUUUGAUGAAAGGACUAAAACUGAACAAAGAAAAAAUAUUUGUGUUUCACUCACAGAUACUAGCAAUUGAUGGGUCUUAAAUGAAAAGGAGUUGGAUAAGGAAUAAAAACCUUGUAGACGUUCACACUUUUCUCUUUUGAUCAAAAUCUUAUUUAUAAAUUUCAAAAUUUGAUUCAAACCUGUUGUAUAAUUUUAAAUAAUUAAACUCAUAAUUAAAAUUAUACUCUUAUCCAUAAGUUAAUAGAUAUCUUGACUCAUUUAUAGUAUUAUAGAUUACAAGAUUGUUGUGCACGUCACAAAGUAUCAUCCAUAAUAUAUAACAUGAUAUUUUACUUAAUACUAAAUAUACGACAAUUCAAAAAUCAUAUUUUACUAAAUACUUACGAUAACAUUUUUUUUUAAAUGGAUGUCUAUUAUAACAAAUAUGCAUGAGACAACGUAGUCGUCAAGAUAAAUCAUAAACAAAAUAAAUGUCUACUGUAGAAAACAUAUGUUUAACAUAUAUCAAUUGCACUUAGAAAAUAUUUACACUCUCAUAGUAUGCGUUCGAUAGGGAGAAAGCAUCAUAAUCAAUUGGUGAUUUUUUUGGUUGACGUGGUUAUGUGUUUGAUUAGAGAAGAAAGCAAAUAGUAUGAUGUCGAUUGAGGAUUUCUUGAGUUACAAAUAGGGUUAAUGUCAUAAAAAUUCUCAAGCUUUCAGGGUUUUGUCGGUUUUGCCCAAAGUUUAAUUUUAUGUCCGUUUUUACCCUAACAUUUUCCAAAAAAUGUUCGUUUUUACCCUUUUACCGGUGAUAACAGGUUACCAUUAUAUUAGUUUCGCAAAAAAACCCUUAAGUUUAUAGUUUUUUACGUUUUUACCUGUAAGUUUAUAUUUCUUUUACACUUUUACCCUUUGUAUUUUUUUUUUUCAUAUUAUAUGUAUUCAUAAAGAAAAAAUAUAUUUAUAUACGAAAUUUUUUUAAUUAAAUAUUGUAUUUACAUUUUUAUAAUGUUAUUUCUUCAUAUAUAUAUAUAUAUNNUAUAUAUAUAUCAAUAAAAAACAUAAUGAAUCAUAAACAUGUUUAUAUAAGUAUAUACAUAUAUUUUUAGAAGUGUAAAUAUGUAUUUUGAUAUAUGUUUUUUUUUAAGUAUAAAUAUAUUUUUAGAAGUAUAUAUACAUAUUUAUAUAUAAAAAUGUAAAAAUAUGUAUUUAUACUUUUAAAAACUAUAUCUAUAAAACACGUAUUCAUAAUCUUGUAAAAAAAUGUGUGUUAGGAUCUUUUGAUCGCAUUCCGAUCUUAUGAUCACAAUCUUGUAAAAUACAAAAAUAAUCGUAUGUAAGAUUUCAAUUUUGACAAUCUUUAUUUGAAGGAAUAUUAAAAUCAUAAAAUUAUGUUAAUGUGUAACUUGGAACUUGGUGACCCGACCCAAAACAAAGUCAAGAAACCCGACAUCAAAUAUCGAUGGGAUAAAUGUUUGGAAUAAGCUUAGGGUCGAUAGGCCCUAAGUCGUUGGUAAUAGAAGAAUUUUUCAGUUUCCGGCUCCCUACCUAUGAAGUAUGUCAUAUCGACCAAAUCAUAUUAAAUCUAUGUGUCAUUUUAUUGUUGCUUUUUUGCAUAACAAAUUGAAUACUUAAUCUCACAAAAUCAAAAACCUAACUUGAAUAUGAUCAUUGUCGUUGAUACAAUAAAAAUAUAAACCAACAAAACCUUGGAAUUCGGAUUGAAUCCACAUGGAGUUCGUAGUUAAAUUAUGUGUUUGAAAGAUUCAAUUAGCUAACCAAAGAUGCAAGAAAACUAAUCACUUUUGGAACAAUCAAAUUUGAAAUCCAAAGGACAAAAAUGUGCCAAUCAUAAAUUAGGAAUUUAGAAAACCAAAAGUGUAUUGCAAUCAAUUUCUAAAUUGAAUGACCAAAAAUAAUGACCAAAUCUCGCAUUAACUAAACAUUUGAAUGUAGUUAUUUAAUUUUUAUUGUAGCAUAGAUACAUAGACAUGAUCAAUAAAUCUUCUUAUUCUAAUAAAUGAAUAAGUUUAUUCUCAUGUUGACAAGUCUUCUCUAAUAAAUGAAGGUUUUUUGUCAUUUGUUACAUUCUCAUUCAAAUUGUUAAAUGUCAUUUUGUGGUUAUUUUGAAUUAAUUUUUUUCCCACAUAUCAUUUUAUGAGUUUUUCUAUUUUAUUAAAUUCCACAUAAUAUUUUAACAUAAUAGUUGUAAUAAAUGUAGUAAUAAACGGAUAUUAAUUUCACUAAUAAACUUACCUUUUAAUUUCAAAAUUCCCAAAAUUAAAGUUCAUUCGUUUCUUUUCUUUAUUUAAAUUAUGUGUUUAAAUUUAAAAGAUAAAAUACAUUUCCAUUAUAAUAAAUCAUUAUUUUUCUUAUUUUCUUAUAAAUUCAAAGUUCUCAAAUAUUUUGACAUUUAUAUUUAACAUUUUUUUUAAAUAAAUUCAUAUAAUACAUGGGUCUCGCAACUAGUGGCAUACUGUUAGAAAUCUUCAUUAAUAUUAUAUGUCAUCUAUCAUGCCACAUGUCAACCUAUUAAUUCUCCAUUUUAAAUUUUAAAAUUUAAAUUUUCCACUCUAAUUACAUUAAAUUAGAUUAUUUAUUUCAAAUUUUAAAUUUCACAUUCUAAUUACACUAAAUUAAUAACAUUAGAAUAAAAAAUAAAAUAAAAUUAAUAUAUAUUAUAAGGUGAUAUAAUUUAAUGUAUUUAUUUAAAUCAACGAUUAUAAUUUAUAUAACUAAAAAAAUAUCUCUUAAUUAAUAAUUUAUUUGAAGUAAUUGAUUAAUAAUUUUAAAUUUACUAUGUUUAUAUUAAUUUUAUAAUUAUAAUUCUCGCAGAUUAUAAACUAGUUAGUAGAAUAAAAUGACAAACUUUAGGCAUAACCCUUGAUAUGGCCGUAAAAUAGUGUUAACUCCAAAUCUAGGUGGAGCUCGGCACGAUAUAUCACAAUAAUAUUAACUUCAAACAAUUUAAAAAUAAAACUUAUGCAUAAAGUACGAGAAUAAAUUGUUGGGUUACAAAUAAAAUAUUGAAAGAGAAGAGGUUAAAAAUGGCCAACUAAAUGUGUUUGACCAUAUUUAGGGAGGAAGGAGUUGUUUCCCUCCUCCUGCCGAAACCGCUAAACCUUAGUCGGAGGGUAUCGAACCCAUCCAACCCCAAAACCACCGACCCCAUCUUCUUCAACUUUCCAACUUUGAGUUGUCUCCCCAGUGGGUUUCUCAAACCGUUAAACCCCUCUCUUUCUCUCUUGCUUUCAUCCCUUUCCUCCUCUAACCCGCUAUGACUCCUUCAUCCCUUAGUCACUCAACUUAUUUUUGUCUACUAAGAUAAGAAACUUUUCAAAAUCAUCAACUUUUAUCCAUUCAACUUAUUUUGUCAAUUUUUAGGUAAUGAUUUUAACUCAUUGCUCGCCUUUGUGCUUCUAAGAUGAAGUAUCUUGCAUAUUUUGGAGAAAGCAAAUAAGAAUAAAGUAUGUUGCUAAAUCUGGUCCCAAUAAACAAAUAUUUACUCAUAACAAUCUCACACAUAAGAAUUAUGUUAUCAUUAAAAGAUGAAUACGAAUGUUUUGUACUUAGCCUUUGCCAAGUUAUAUAACUUAAUUAAUUAAUUUAUAAGUCCAGACUUUACAAAGAAAAAUCAAGUGAAGUUAAUAAACACAAACUUAAGCAUCAUCAUUGGGUUGAUGCUCUUUUGGGUGUCUCGUCAAAGCUUGAUUAGUAAUGAUUGGAUCUCAUUCAUUAUUCACAUGUCAUCUUGAAACAAAGCUUUGUAAACAGAAUUAGAACCACCACCCCGUUCAUCUUUCUUGUCUCCUCCGCCGCCUAUCAUCGGAGUCUCACAAACCACGCUAUAACCAGCCCUCCGUUGUUUCUUCCUUUUGGAUUCUUUAUUAGAUACGGGUCUAACCUUGGUUGUUUGUAAUGGCUUCGGAGCCCAAACCCUCUGCAAAUCGGGCAUUCGGCCUGUGAAUACGAACCUUUUAGCCCUCUCUCUCCUCUCACGAGCCUCAAUUAACUUUUGUUCAUCAUCCUUUUCUGUCUCUCCUAAAUCCAAGUUGUCAAGCGGAGGAUGCGA